AUGGAAGGACAAGUACCAGAACAGUUGAUUUGCCGAAGAUGGGCCAAUAUUUGGGAAUGGGAAGGUUCAAUCUACAGUAAACUCGUUGCCAGUUUAAGUUCUGGGAUACAUGUGCAGAAUGUGCACGUUUGUUACAAAAGUAUACAUGUGCCAUGGUGGUUUGCUGCACCCAUCAACCUGUCAUCUGCAUCAGGUAUUUCUCCUAAUUCUAUUCCUACCCUAGCCUCCAUCCCCUGACAGGCCCUGGUGUGUGAUGUUCCCCUCCUUGUGUCCAUGUGUUCUCAUUUUUCAUCUCCUACUUAUGAGUGAGAACAUGUGGUGUUUGCUUUUCUUUUCCUGUGUUAGUUUGCUAAGAGUGAUGAUUUCCAGCUUCAUCCAUAUCCCUGCAAAGGACAUGAACUCAUUCUUUUUAUGGCUGCAUAGUAUUCCAUGGUGUAUAUGUGCCACAUUUCUGUACUUAUUCUAUCAUUGAUGGGCAUUUGGGUUGGUUCCAACUCUAUUGCUAUUGUGAACAGUGUGGCAGUAAACACACAUGUACAUGUGUCUUUAUUGCAGAGUGAUUUAUACUCCUUUAGAUAUACACCCAGUAAUGGGAUUGCUGGGUCAAAUGGUAUCUCUGGCUCUAGAUCCUUGAGGAAUCGCCAUACUGUCUUCUACAAUGGUUGACUAAUUUACACUCCCACCAACAGUGCAAAAGCGUUCCUAUUUCCCCACAUCCUCACCAGCAUCUGUUGUUUCCUGACAUUUUAAUGAUUGCCAUUCUAACUGGCAUGAGAUGGUAUCUCACUGUAGUUUUGAUGUGCAUUUCUCCAAUGACCAGUGAUGAUGAGCUUUUUUCAUGUUUGUUGGCCACAUAAAUGUCUUCUUUUGGGAAGUGUCUGUUCAUAUCUUUUGCCCAGUUUUUUUUUUCUUGUAAAUUUGUUCAAAUUCCCUGUAAAUUCUGCAUAUUAGCCCUUUGUCAGAUGGCUAGAUUGCAAAAAUUCUCUCCCAUUCUGUAGGUUGCCUGUUCACUCCGAUGACAGGUUUCUCUGUUUGUUUGUUUGUUUGUUUGAUUACUGUGCAGAUGCUCUUUAGUUUAAUUAGAUCCAACUUGUCAAUUUUGGCUUUUGUUGCAAUUGUUUUUGGUGUUUUAGUCAUUAUGUCUUUGCCCAUGCCUAUGUCCUGAAUGGUACUGCCAACAUUUCCAUCUAGGAUUUUUAUGAGUUUUGGUCUUACAUCUAAGACAUUAAUCCAUCUUGAGUUAAUUUUUGUAUAGGGUGUGAGGAAGGGGUCCAGUUUCAGUUUUCUGCUUAUAGCUAGCCAGUUUUCCCAACACCACUUAUUAAAUAGGGAAGCAUUUCCCCAUUGCUUGUUUUCUUCAAGUCUGUCAAAGAUUAGAUGAUUGUAGAUGUGUGGUGUUAUUUCUGAGGCAUCUGUUCUGUUCUAUUGGUCUAUACAUCUGUUUUUGUAUCAGUACCAUGCUGUUUUGGUUACUAUGGCCUUGUAGUAUAGUGUGAAGUCAGGUAGCGUGAUGCCUCCAGCUUCGUUCUUUUUGCUUAGGAUUGUCUUGGCUAUGCUGGCUCUUUUUUGGUUCCAUAUGCAAUUUAAAGUAGCUUAUUCUAAUUCUGUGAAGAAAGUCAAUGGUAGUUUGAUGGGAAUAGCCUUGAAUCUAUAAAUUACUUUGGGCAAUAUGGCCAUUUUCACAAUAUUGAUUCUUCCUAUCCAUGAUCAUGGAAUGUUUUUGUUCUCUCUUAUUUCCUUGAUGGUAGUUCAUAGUUCUCCUUGAAGAGGUCCUCCACAUCCCUUGUAAGUUGUACUUCUAAGUAUUUUAGUCUUUUUGUAGCAAUUGUUAGUGAGAGUUCACACAUGAUUUGGCUCUCUGUCUAUUAUUGGUGUAUAGGAAUGCUUAUGAUUUUUGCAUAUUGAUUUUGUAUCCUGAGACUUUGCUGAAAUUGCUUAUCAACUUAAGGAGUUUUUGGGCUGAGACGAUGGGGUUUUCUAAACAUACAAUCAUGUCAUCUGCAAACAGAGACAAUUUGACUUCCUCUCUUCCUAUCUGAAUACGCUUUAUUUCCUUCUCUUGCCGGAUUGCUCUGGCCAGAACUUCCAGUACUAUGUUGAAUAGGAGUGGUGAGAGAGGGCAUCCGUGUCUUGUGCCUGUUUUCAAAGGGAAUGCUUCCAGCUUUUGCCCAUUCACUUUGAUACUGGCUGUGGGUUUGUAUUAAAUAGCUCUUAUUAUUUUGAGAUAUGCUUGAUUAAUACCUAGUUUAUUGAGUGUUUUUAGCAUAAAGGGUGUUGAAUUUUAUCAAAGGCCUUUUCUGCAUCUAUUGAGAUAAUCAUGUGGUUUUGUCAUUGGUUUUGUUUAUGUAAGGAUUACGUUUAUUGAUUUGCAUAUGUUGAACCAGACUUGCAUCCCAGGGAUAAAGCCAACUUGAUCAUGGUGGAUAAGCAUGUUGACGUGGUGCUGGAUUCAGUUUGCCAGUAUUUUAUUGAGGAUUUUCACAUUGAUAUUUAUCAGGGAUAUUGGUCUGAAAUUUCCUUACAUCACAAAAUUUCCUUUCCAUUCACAACAUUUUUUGUUGUGUCUCUGCCAGGUUUUGGUAUCAGGAUGAUGCUGGCCUAAUAAAAUAAGUUGGAGAGGAGUCCCUCUUUUUCUAUUGUUUGGAAUAGUUUCAGAAAGAAUAGUACCAGCUUCUCUUUGUACCUCUGUACAAAGAGGCUGUGAAUGUGUCUGGGCCUGGGCUUUUUUGGUUGGUAGGCUAUUAAUU
Long non-coding RNA from Callithrix jacchus (white-tufted-ear marmoset), 2747 nucleotides. NCBI's taxonomy places the organism in Eukaryota, Metazoa, Chordata, Mammalia, Primates, Cebidae. The record is from Ensembl.